This 564-nucleotide ribosomal RNA is filed under the name Debaryomyces hansenii. RNAcentral's name for it is "eukaryotic LSU rRNA". It matches the Rfam family "Eukaryotic large subunit ribosomal RNA", at positions 79 to 658 of the family's 3401-position model. The record is from RNAcentral. Lineage: Eukaryota; Fungi; Ascomycota; Pichiomycetes; Serinales; Debaryomycetaceae.
CUUAGUAACGGCGAGUGAAGCGGCAAAAGCUCAAAUUUGAAAUCUGGCACCUUCGGUGUCCGAGUUGUAAUUUGAAGAAGGUAACUUUGGAGUUGGCUCUUGUCUAUGUUCCUUGGAACAGGACGUCACAGAGGGUGAGAAUCCCGUGCGAUGAGAUGCCCAAUUCUAUGUAAAGUGCUUUCGAAGAGUCGAGUUGUUUGGGAAUGCAGCUCUAAGUGGGUGGUAAAUUCCAUCUAAAGCUAAAUAUUGGCGAGAGACCGAUAGCGAACAAGUACAGUGAUGGAAAGAUGAAAAGAACUUUGAAAAGAGAGUGAAAAAGUACGUGAAAUUGUUGAAAGGGAAGGGCUUGAGAUCAGACUUGGUAUUUUGCGAUCCUUUCCUUCUUGGUUGGGUUCCUCGCAGCUUACUGGGCCAGCAUCGGUUUGGAUGGUAGGAUAAUGACUAAGGAAUGUGGCUCUACUUCGGUGGAGUGUUAUAGCCUUGGUUGAUACUGCCUGUCUAGACCGAGGACUGCGUCUUUUGACUAGGAUGUUGGCAUAAUGAUCUUAAGCCACCCGUCUUGAA